RNAcentral lists this small RNA (894 nucleotides) under uncultured Actinomycetales bacterium. RNAcentral describes it as "bacterial SSU rRNA". The stretch from base 1 to 472 matches the Rfam family "Bacterial small subunit ribosomal RNA", at positions 1064 to 1533 of the family's 1533-position model. Lineage: Bacteria; Bacillati; Actinomycetota; Actinomycetes; Actinomycetales. The record is from RNAcentral.
GCCGUGAGGUGUUGCCUUAAGUGGCGCAACGAGCGCAACCCCUGUCCCAUGUUGCCAGCGAGUCAUGUCGGGGACUCAUGGGAGACUGCCGGUGCCAAACCGGAGGAAGGUGGGGAUGACGUCAAGUCAUCAUGGCCCUUAUGUCCUGGGCUGCACACAUGCUACAAUGCUUGCUACAAAGGGUAGCAAUCCCGCAAGGGGGAGCGAAUCCCAAAAAAGCAAGCUCAGUUCGGAUCGGGGUCUGCAACUCGACCCCGUGAAGUCGGAGUCGCUAGUAAUCGCAGAUCAGCAACGCUGCGGUGAAUACGUUCCCGGGCCUUGUACACACCGCCCGUCACACCACGAAAGUGGGUAACACCCGAAGCCGGUGGCCCAACCCUUGUGGAGGGAGCCGUCGAAGGUGGGAUCCGCGAUUGGGGUGAAGUCGUAACAAGGUAGCCGUACCGGAAGGUGCGGCUGGAUCACCUCCUUUCUAAGGAGCAUUUGGCAACGCCGGCCGUUCGAGGCCAACCCGUCGGGAUCGGUUCCGGAGGGCUCGAGCGAGUCCGGAGCUCCAGUCAAUCCACUGGCUAGUUCACCGGCGGAACGGCGCCGGCCGUCAGUACUAUCCCGCAAGGGGGUGGAACGCGGUCGAUCGUCCCGGAAACCGGUGUGGCACACUGUUCGGUCCUGAGGGUGCGAGCUCUCGGACCGGCGAACCUCCGUGACCCUCCGUAAGGGUGGUCGCGCGUUCGUCGCUCAUGGACCUUGAGAACUCCAUAGCGAGCGCGAGCAUCUAUGAGUCAAGUUGAUAAGGGCUCACGGUGGAUGCCUUGGCGCCAGGAGCCGAUGAAGGACGCGUGAGACUGCGAAAAGCUCCGGGGAUCCGUCAACAAGGAUUUGAUCCGGAGGUGU